This 1053-nucleotide long non-coding RNA is filed under the name Sus scrofa (pig). RNAcentral describes it as "lncRNA (ENSSSCG00070022966.1)". Lineage: Eukaryota; Metazoa; Chordata; Mammalia; Artiodactyla; Suidae. The record is from RNAcentral.
GCAUGAUUAUUACCAUUGCACCCCAGUGUUUAUAAUACCUGGUCAUAGGAAGGAUGGAACAAACAAAAAAUAAAGGCAAACUUUUACCCCCAAAAAAAGAGAACAUGAGAAAGAGAUUACUUUUGUGAAUCAGAAAGGUCACCUAGGCCAAAUGGUGUCUCCGAGGCAGAAAGCAAGGGAACUCGGGCAGGGAAGAGAAUUGUGUGCCUGAAAAAGGCAUAGCCAGUUGAAGGCAGAGGAAGGUGGAGAAGGGCAAAUUGAGCUCAUCUGAUGACCUCUGAGGUUCAGUAAUAAAGUCUCCAGUUGCUAAAAGGGGAGGAGAAGACACCAGGGUAUGAAGGAGAGAAUUGGCAUGGCUGGGAAGAAAUAAGGAAGAGAGGUUUUACCUCUAGAUUAGACAACAUUAUAAGUGGCAGCACCUAGGGCAUUACUUUGUCUCUAAAGAGGAAGCAGAGGCUCUUGGUUUUAUGGAGUCCUAAAAAUGCUGUGUCAUCCUCCUGCUCUCACCUUUCCAGAAGACCUGGCAGCAGCUCCCGCACGCCUCACCCAAGACUUCCCAUUCCCUCUCAGAAAAACAGAUGCUACCUGUGUUUGACCCUAAUCACCCGGUGCGUACUUCCAUAAUGGCAAGCCAUUGCACUUCAUUGUAACUUAUGUUUCUAUUACGUACUUUCACUGUACAGUGAGUUUCUUAAGAGUAAGUGACUUCGCAUCAGCAACAACCAGCAAAAGGCAUGUUAACACAGUAGUCAUUUAAUGCCAGUUUCUUAAAUUAAUGAAUGAGUUGAGAAAAUAAUGUUUCAUUACUGAAAGGGGCUGUUGAGAUUCCUUUAUUUUAUAAAUGAGAAAUUUGCAUUAAGUGGUAAUGUUAUUUUGUCUUCCGAGUCAGCCAGAAGAUGAAUUAUGUGUCUCUCUUGCCCAUCAUUAUAUUCUAAAUGUCUAGUGUUUUGCACAGUAUAUAUGUCCAGUAAAUAAUGCUUAAAUGUUAAAGUUUAAAAUCUCAUAAUUAAUUAUGGUUAAUGCUAGUUUAAGAAGCAAGAUAUUCAAAUGCCA